UGCUUAAAGCUAGUUUAGAUAAUUUCUCGAUUAGUACCUAAAAUGUAUCACAUCAAACAAUGAGACGUGAGACCUAAUUUCAUGCCAUGAUUAUGAAGAGAUAAUUUUCUAACGUGUUAAUUAGGGCCAAAAUGUCAACACAAUGUCAACCCUCAUGACUUGUGAGGGCAAUUAAAAGACUUCUUAACGCCACCCAAUUAAUAAAGUUAAGAAGGCAAUGAUGGCCAGUCCAACUGGUCGGAGUUGCCUCCCGGGUUGGUCCCGAGUUCAAAUCCGGGCCGUUAGGUAACUCCAGGCACAUAGUUGCCUUUUCGGCCUGGCCACGGAGCUAACAGAGGCUGUGUGUGUUAACUGGUGUCUUCGGAACCAGUUGUUAAU
This 378-nucleotide long non-coding RNA is filed under the name Helianthus annuus (common sunflower). Its description in RNAcentral is "hypothetical non coding rna". Lineage: Eukaryota; Viridiplantae; Streptophyta; Magnoliopsida; Asterales; Asteraceae. The record is from RNAcentral.